Molecule: long non-coding RNA, 657 nt
Organism: Epinephelus moara (kelp grouper)
Lineage: Eukaryota; Metazoa; Chordata; Actinopteri; Perciformes; Serranidae
Exons: 3
Source: RefSeq, a predicted model, not a curated record
GCUUAAACUGCCAAAGAGGAAGUGAGAAGAGCCAUCUGUUUUUUGGCUGGACCGCAGAAAAGUCGGGGUCGGCCCUAUGAACGUGAAAGUCUGUCACUCACUGACUGUGACGUUUAUGAACAUCUUGUGCCAUCUUGUACUGCGCCUACAAUACCGGAGUGUGUCUGUUUACACUGGUGAAAUGUUACAACGUUAAAUACGGAUAUGGAUACGGAUGGAGCCUUCUGUCCGUGCUCCGCGUUCAUUUCGUCCAUAUUUCUGCAUGUUUCCAUAAAGCUUAUGGAUACGGGCCAAACGGAGAAGUACCACCGGAAACCGUGGGGGCAGUGUUGCUGUCACUACCCGCUCCCAGGGCCAACCCUCGCGCCCUCCGACUGGGGUCCUUCUGUUUAUGUCUUUCAUGCAAGAGUGUGUAAGCAGCACUAUCCUCAGUUCACCAACUGGAAGGAGACGAUUACAGCGAGGCAAAGUAUCACGGGAGUGAAAACAGAAAAGGAAUUACUGUAGCUUUGAAGGUUUUUCCAUAUGUUGUCACGCAUGAAAAGACCCAAAAUGGACACUGUAAGUGGACUACUUGAUUACUUUACUUGUAAAGGAAAGAUUCUGUCUCAAGCUUUUUGAUCCAUAUAAGAUCACUGUAACCCUGAGCACUUAAAG